GACCUGGUGGUGUGUGGUGCACACCUACUUGACUUUGAAGUAUUCGGUGGUUUAUGUGGGAGGUCCCCGUUCGAUUCGGGGUCAGGUCA
Mycena latifolia is the source of this 89-nucleotide non-coding RNA. The record is from the annotation of a GenBank genome assembly. Lineage: Eukaryota; Fungi; Basidiomycota; Agaricomycetes; Agaricales; Mycenaceae.